UACGUAGGGUGCGAGCGUUGUCCGGAAUUAUUGGGCGUAAAGAGCUCGUAGGCGGUCUGUCGCGUCUGCUGUGAAAAUCCAGGGCUCAACCCUGGACCUGCAGUGGGUACGGGCAGACUAGAGUGCGGUAGGGGAGAUCGGAAUUCCUGGUGUAGCGGUGAAAUGCGCAGAUAUCAGGAGGAACACCAAUGGCGAAGGCAGCUCGCUGGAACGGUACUGACGCUGAGGCGCGAAAGCGUGGGGAGCGAACAGG
Molecule: ribosomal RNA, 253 nt
Filed under: uncultured bacterium
Lineage: Bacteria
Description: partial 16S ribosomal RNA
Rfam family: Bacterial small subunit ribosomal RNA
Source: RNAcentral